Molecule: long non-coding RNA, 2247 nt
Organism: Nilaparvata lugens (brown planthopper)
Lineage: Eukaryota; Metazoa; Arthropoda; Insecta; Hemiptera; Delphacidae
Exons: 2
Source: RefSeq, a predicted model, not a curated record
GGUACACCAGAAGAGAGAGGCCUGAUAGCUUGGCCAAUGAAAUGAAACUGAGUACGGAUUGUGCUGAACAAGAUGAUGACGAUGGUACCUACAAUUUUCCCGUUGGAAUGGCAUUUGUGAGAAGGUGUAAAAUCUUCAAGCAUAUUCCUUUUAUGCCAACUUAUCAGCCGUCUUCAUGAUAACAAGGAACCUAUCAUAAUGUACAUAAGUGUAACAUUCUUGUAGGGUACCAGUUCCAUAAUACUGUAUUUUACUUCCUAUAUCUUAAAUAAUUUAAAAGUUUGGUAAACAAGACAAGUUAUUAUCAAUAAUUGGUUUCAUGAAGCAAAUUAUUUCACCAAAAGCGAUUAUAUUUAUUAUAUUUGUUCAAACCACUUGUCUUUUCCUAGCUAUUCACACUUACCUGUGAUUAUUGUAUACUCUGGUUUACUUAGGUUUUUCAGCAGGUGAAAUUGUAUUCUAUAAUACAAUACAAAAUAAAAUGGCUUGCUUAAUAUAAGAUUAAAAUAAUGCCCAGUUUCUCCAGACUCAAACGGUAAGAUUACCAGCUGACAAAGGUAACUCUACAGUAGUUAUGGACAAAACCGUAUACAACGAACAUCUUGUUCCAAAUUUCGUGAAAAUCGUUAAAGCCAUUUUCGAGAUCCGUUGAACAUAAAUAACCAGAUAACCAGAUUACAAAAAUAGCCAGAUAAAAAAAUAUAAACAGACGUAUACAGAAAUAGCUCGCUUAAUAUAAUAGGAUCAUAUAAUUAGGUCAUGUCAGAGGCCCUGAAAUUGAUCAAUCAGAGAAUUUCACACUCAAGGAAGUUCAUCUAGCUUCAUUUUAGUUCAGUUAGUCAUGUCGCUAAAAUGCAUUGUUUUCAAGAUACAUGGGUGAAAUCCGGAAAUGGAAAACGCAACUUUUAAACCACCCUCAUCCUUUAGCACAAGGGGUAGGGAUGAGGACUUUUGAUAUGUUUACCUUCCAACUAGUCCAAACAAAGCUGCGAAGUCAAAUAUUGUGUUGCAAUCGUUCCCUCCAAGUUUCCCUGUGAAAUGAUCUAUUGUUGUUAAACUGAAGAUUUUACACUCAACACUAUAACGGCUGCAUCAAUCGUAGGGAGAUGCUUAAAAUAAUACAUGAAAUUGAAGAGAAUAUAAUGCUCUAUGAGCUCAUGAUUAGCACGGAUUUUUUCAAUCAAUCAUUAAAAAGAUAUAAUGCCAGAAAUAUGAAAAAAUCGGAUCCGGAAGGGAUUUCUUAAAAAUGUGACACCUUCGAGAGCUCAAACCUAGAAAACUAGAAGAGAUAUGGAAAAAUGUUACAAAUGGAACUUGUAGGCUAAUUCAUAAGCUUUAAUUUUAUAUUCGACAAACAUUUCCGAAAGACACAUAUUGUCCGAGAUAUGUACAAAAAACAAAAUAUGGUACUUCUAUAAAACCACCCCCACUCACUAGCAGGGGUAGGAGUGAGGACUUUUGAUAUGUUUACCCCCUAACUAUUGUUAAAAGAGCUGCGGGGUCAAAAAUUGUGUUGCAAACUUUUUCUUCUAUACCUUUUUUGAGCAUUGGUUGCCUGGAAUAAUAAGAAUCGUAUUGCUGCUUGCAAGUUGUAGAAGGCAAUUUAAAAGAUUAUGGAAGCGUCUAUGGUAGAUUGUUUGUGUAAUUUGAAACAUUCUUUACAAAUAAAAUUUCAAUAUUGUGUUCAAAUUCAACAUUGGUUCAAUGGACAAAGUGCUACAUGAGAAAUCUGCCAAACUUAUAGGCUAUUACAGUCCCACUCUCACGAGAAAUACAAACAUAGGCUAUUAAAAAAUUGAUUCUAACUUCUCUUCAACAGGUACUGAUUUCUAAUAUUUUUUCCAAGUUGCUCCUUCGCUUGAAUGUUAUAGAGCUGGUUUUAAUACUAUAAUGAAAUAUUAUAAACAUGGAUCUAGUCCAUAGUUUAUCCUUUCUCACUUUCUAAAAAUGCAAAAUAUAGAGAAAAGAAUGAUCAAUAUUCGUGUCAAAACUCAGGAAUGGUGUGAAUGCGUUACAUUCAAACGAAAAGAAACUGCGAAUAAAUUUUGGAUCCAACUGUGUUGGCUAGCCUAGAUUAUAGCCUAUUCUAUGAAGAGACCACUUUAUCAAACGCAAGGAUAUUAACUUGUAUAAAAUAUAGGAGAGUUAAUGGAUGAAAUAAUAUACCACUUAAAAUAUAGCCUAUAGUCUAUAAAUUUAGUGCCUAUAUAGAUUGUACUCAUAAUGAAUUAAAAUAAUUACAGUUCC